RNAcentral lists this small nuclear RNA (23 nucleotides) under Arabidopsis thaliana (thale cress). RNAcentral's name for it is "snRNA_10781". Lineage: Eukaryota; Viridiplantae; Streptophyta; Magnoliopsida; Brassicales; Brassicaceae. The record is from RNAcentral.
ACUAUGCCUGAGCGGGGUAAAGC